AUUGAACGCUGGCGGCAUGCCUUACACAUGCAAGUCGAACGGUAACGGGCCUUCGGGUGCCGACGAGUGGCGAACGGGUGAGUAAUGCAUCGGAACGUACCUUUCAGUGGGGGAUAACGUAGCGAAAGUUACGCUAAUACCGCAUAUUCUGUGAGCAGGAAAGCAGGGGAUCGCAAGACCUUGCGCUGAUUGAGCGGCCGAUGUCAGAUUAGCUAGUUGGUGAGGUAAAAGGCUCACCAAGGCGACGAUCUGUAGCGGGUCUGAGAGGAUGAUCCGCCACACUGGAACUGAGACACGGUCCAGACUCCUACGGGAGGCAGCAGUGGGGAAUUUUGGACAAUGGGGGCAACCCUGAUCCAGCCAUGCCGCGUGAGUGAAGAAGGCCUUCGGGUUGGUUAAAGGACUCUUUCGGUCCGGGAGGAAAGUACGCAUGGGUUAA
RNAcentral lists this ribosomal RNA (439 nucleotides) under uncultured bacterium. RNAcentral's name for it is "bacterial SSU rRNA". It matches the Rfam family "Bacterial small subunit ribosomal RNA", at positions 30 to 464 of the family's 1533-position model. The record is from RNAcentral.